CCUACGGGUGGCAGCAGUGAGGAAUAUUGGUCAAUGGGCGAGAGCCUGAAGCAGCCAAGCCGCGUGAAGGAUGACGGUUCUAGGGGUUGUAAACCUCUUUGGUCAGGGAGCAAUUGAGUCCACGUGUGGUAUAAGCGAGAGUAACUGCAGAACAAGCAUCGGCUAACUCCGUGCCAGCAGCCGCGGUACUACGGAGGAUGCGAGCGUUAUCCGGAUUUAUUGGGUGUAAAGGGUGAGUAGGCGGAAUAUCAAGUCAGCGGUAAAAAUUAGGGGUUAAACACCGUCGUGCCGUUGAAACUGAUAUUCGUGAGUAUGCGAGAGGUAUGUGGAAUGCGUGGUGUAGGGGUAAAAUGCGUAGAGAUCAAGAAGAAUACUGAUUGCGAAGGCAGCAUGCCGGAGCCUAACUGACGCUGAAGCGCGAAAGCGUGGGGAUCGAACAGGAUUAGAUACCCGAGUAGUC
This 460-nucleotide ribosomal RNA is filed under the name uncultured bacterium. Its description in RNAcentral is "partial 16S ribosomal RNA". It matches the Rfam family "Bacterial small subunit ribosomal RNA", at positions 338 to 795 of the family's 1533-position model. The record is from RNAcentral.